RNAcentral lists this ribosomal RNA (207 nucleotides) under uncultured bacterium. RNAcentral describes it as "partial 16S ribosomal RNA". It matches the Rfam family "Bacterial small subunit ribosomal RNA", at positions 568 to 774 of the family's 1533-position model. The record is from RNAcentral.
CGCGUAGGCGGUCAGGCAAGUCGGAUGUGAAAUCCCUCGGCUCAACCGAGGAACUGCAUCCGAAACUGCCCGACUUGAGUCCCGGAGAGGGUAGCGGAAUUCCCAGUGUAGCGGUGAAAUGCGUAGAUACUGGGAGGAACACCAGUGGCGAAGGCGGCUACCUGGACGGUGACUGACGCUGAGGCGCGAAAGCGUGGGGAGCAAACA